Molecule: long non-coding RNA, 424 nt
Organism: Trichechus manatus latirostris (Florida manatee)
Lineage: Eukaryota; Metazoa; Chordata; Mammalia; Sirenia; Trichechidae
Exons: 4
Source: RefSeq, a predicted model, not a curated record
CUUCAGUAAGUUAAUAAAACUCAGUUUGCUUAUAUUCUAACAGGUUUCUUUAUUUGAGGAGGGGUGUUCAUAAUUUGAAGGAUCCACAGAAAUUCAGCUGUGACCUCACCCCACCUUGGAAUGGACCAGGGCUCUUAAUCCAGACCAUUUUUACCUAGAGGAAUAGCUCUUUUAAGUAUUUGGUGGGUACUGCAUGAAGGCUGGUGACAAGAUGUUCUCUAUCUUGGCGGAAGACAGAACAGAAAAACAAUACAGUAAUAACUUAGCCGUGUACCUACUUGGAAUAUACAUGAAAGAGAUCCAAAAACCUAAUGGGUAGUGAAUGCUUGGACUGGUCCAUCUGGAACAUUAGAUAAAAAUUAUGUGAAACAAUAUCUGAGGCACAACGGUUAAGCUACUUGGCUGCUAACAGAAAAGUCCGUAG